Molecule: ribosomal RNA, 121 nt
Filed under: Pelobates cultripes (western spadefoot toad)
Lineage: Eukaryota; Metazoa; Chordata; Amphibia; Anura; Pelobatidae
Description: SSU_rRNA_eukarya
Source: RNAcentral
AUAACAAUACAGGACUCUUUAGAGGCCUUGUAAUUGUAAUGAGUCCACUUGAAAUCCUUUUGCUCUGAUCAAUUGGAGGGCAAGUCUGUUGCAGAGCGACUGACCCGUGCUGCAGCUGAAA